RNAcentral lists this transfer RNA (87 nucleotides) under Gimibacter soli. RNAcentral's name for it is "Kordiimonadaceae bacterium 6D33 tRNA-Leu". It matches the Rfam family "tRNA". Rfam says of the family: Transfer RNA (tRNA) molecules are approximately 80 nucleotides in length. Their secondary structure includes four short double-helical elements and three loops (D, anti-codon, and T loops). Further hydrogen bonds mediate the characteristic L-shaped molecular structure. tRNAs have two regions of fundamental functional importance: the anti-codon, which is responsible for specific mRNA codon recognition, and the 3' end, to which the tRNAs corresponding amino acid is attached (by aminoacyl-tRNA synthetases). tRNAs cope with the degeneracy of the genetic code in two manners: having more than one tRNA (with a specific anti-codon) for a particular amino acid; and 'wobble' base-pairing, i.e. permitting non-standard base-pairing at the 3rd anti-codon position. Lineage: Bacteria; Pseudomonadati; Pseudomonadota; Alphaproteobacteria; Kordiimonadales; Temperatibacteraceae. The record is from RNAcentral.
GCCCGCUUGGCGAAACUGGUAGACGCAAGAGACUUAAAAUCUCUCGAUGGCAACAUCGUGCCGGUUCGAUUCCGGCAGCGGGCACCA